This 939-nucleotide ribosomal RNA is filed under the name uncultured Bacteroidota bacterium. RNAcentral describes it as "bacterial SSU rRNA". It matches the Rfam family "Bacterial small subunit ribosomal RNA", at positions 8 to 963 of the family's 1533-position model. Lineage: Bacteria; Pseudomonadati; Bacteroidota. RNAcentral also lists the same sequence under 1 other name. The record is from RNAcentral.
AGAGUUUGAUCCUGGCUCAGGAUGAACGCUAGCGGCAGGCUUAACACAUGCAAGUCGAGGGGCAGCGGGGCCCAGCAAUGGGCUGCCGGCGACCGGCGCACGGGUGCGUAACGCGUAUGCAACCUGCCCGCGACAGGGGGAUAACCGGUGGAAACGCCGACUAAUACCCCGUAAUGCACUAGGUCGCAUGGCUUGGUGCUGAAAGCUUCGGUGGUCGCGGAUGGGCAUGCGUGGCAUUAGGUAGUUGGCGGGGCAACGGCCCACCAAGCCUACGAUGCCUAGGGGAGCUGAGAGGCUAAUCCCCCACACUGGUACUGAGACACGGACCAGACUCCUACGGGAGGCAGCAGUGAGGAAUAUUGGUCAAUGGGCGGAAGCCUGAACCAGCCAUGCCGCGUGUGGGAAGAAGGCCCUAUGGGUUGUAAACCACUUUUAGCCGGGAGUAAUAAGGGAGUACCGGCGGAAUAAGCAUCGGCUAACUCCGUGCCAGCAGCCGCGGUAAUACGGAGGAUGCAAGCGUUAUCCGGAUUUAUUGGGUUUAAAGGGUGCGUAGGCGGACCGUUAAGUCAGCGGUGAAAGGUCCCGGCUCAACCGGGGAGCUGCCGUUGAUACUGGCGGACUUGAGUCCAAACGGCGCCGGCGGAAUAUGUAAUGUAGCGGUGAAAUGCAUAGAUAUUACAUAGAACACCGAUCGCGAAGGCAGCUGGCGAGGAUGGCACUGACGCUGAGGCACGAAGGCGUGGGGAUCGAACAGGAUUAGAUACCCUGGUAGUCCACGCAGUAAACGAUGGCGACUUGUUGUCGGCGACAGACGGCCGGUGACAAAGCGAAAGCGAUAAGUCGCCCACCUGGGGAGUACGAUCGCAAGGUUGAAACUCAAAGGAAUUGACGGGGGCCCGCACAAGCGGAGGAGCAUGUGGUUUAAUUCGAUGAUACGCG